GCAGAACAUCGUCCUCCUCUGUGUGGAUGAAGAUGAAAGGGGCAGGUCUGCAUCAAAAGUUCCCUGCUCAGGCCAAGAUCCUAGUGGACUUUAAAAAGUACCUGAAUGAGGCACUCAGGGUUCCACACUGGCAACAUCAGGUGGACGACGUGUCUCGCUUUUUGCGGUACAUGCAGCCCGCUGGGGAUGAGCCGACUCUGGACUUCCUGUCCAAAGCACAGAGACCCAGGAGUUUGUGACGACCCUUCAGCACACUAAGAUGAAUGCAGCCACCAUCCUCAAUUAUUUUAAGAGCAUUUACAAGUUCUUGGAUUGCCUGCAGACAAGGGUGGAUCUUCAAUGAGCAGACUCACAGCUUCAGAGCAGCUGCAAGAACUACCGGCAGACACAGACAGGAUGUUGAUUGAGCGCCCAGCAUUACAGAUUGCCAGAGGAUUUUUCACAGUGGCAGAGCCAGACUUCUUGAGGAUCAAUGGGAAUCUGCAGAGUGGAUUAGCGCUCUCAAAUACAGAGAAGACAAUGUACCGCUACUACUGUGAACAUUUGCCACAUGCAGCGUCCUCAAGGUGUGGAAAACUUGACGGAUGCAGAGUGGGUGAAGAGAAUUCAACAAGGUGACAGGGUUGUGACUGGGACUUCCAGCAUGCAGAUCGCCUUGAUGAGGAAGCAGUAAGUUUUGUGGUUUCAGCUGUACUACAAGCAGAUCAGGCCUGACAGCGUUCAGCAUGGAAAGUUUUCCAGAGGUUUUUUUCUUUCAUCGUCUGGCGAGAGUGUUCACAGUGUCUCUCAAGACAUGAACCGCUUCCAUGAAAUGUAUGGAAGACCGCUGCAAAAAAACUCACGGCGGGACAAAAGGAGGCCAUAAGGAAUUACCUGGGUUGUGGCACUGCAGAUUCUAGAACGCUGCAGCCUCACAAAAUUGUGGACACACCCGUGCUGCUGGAUUCCUUGUCUGGCAAGAGUGAAGAAACUUCUGCUGCAGCUUCAUCUGACGUCAGCAUUUGGAAACACACUUUCCCGAAAAACUUUUCUGCCUUUGUGGCCAGUUUCCCAGUUUCACUGGAGGGCCAGCCACCGUGCAAAAAGCAGCGGGUCGAUUCUGGAUAUCCUGAAGAUGCCACCUUUUAUCACAAGUGGAGAGCCUCCCACACACUUUCCUCUUCUCAAGCCAACAGUCAGAACAGUGGCAAGGCUUAUUGCCAAGGAGGGUUGGAAGGCCAACUACCCAAAGGUUGAAGAGAUACAACUGUUGUGGAAACCGGCUCCCAAGCGAACCAUUGAAACAGACAUGUUUAUAAUAAGAUGUGUUUCUGAGCAGGUUUGGCCAGUCCUGGUCAUAAAGGACUUUGGAGCUGAACAAGGUCAUGGAAUGGUUGCAACCCAUCCAUUUUCCAAAAGCGAGAUCGUGUGCGAUUUCCAUGGAAAGUUAAUCACAGCUGCUGAGGGGAGGGCAUUGCUGGAGGGCAUACACAAUGAGGCCGUUUGCUUGUUCUUAUUCAAAGUCGGACAGCACAGCUUGUGCAUUGAUGCCCAGACCGUCCCAUGCGAGUGCCACCCUGACGAAAAGACGAUUGGCAGGAGGAUUAAUCAUUCUUCUAAGAGGCAUAACUUAAAACCCUUUCAGUGCGUGUUGAAGAUCAAUGAAGAGGACAGGCCUGUCUUUCUCUUCAAGGCGGUGCAGGACAUCAGCAUUGACGCACAACUGACAUUUGACUACGGAGUAGGCAGAAUGACUUAUAGAGAAGAAGGAAUGAACCUGACAUGGCUGGAUAACCAACCAUUCCUAGACUUCCUUUCAAACUACACUUUCUCCCCUCCAGACAGGCUGCACAAAGGUGAAUGACUAGGUCUUACAAACAAAACAACGUCAGAUGUCGCACUGGGAUGUUUUUCAAGAAUAUAUGUCAAAAUGUAGGUUGAAUGUUAAAAUGUCAAAAUUAUGUUUGCAUUAAAUUGUUAUUCUAUAA
Molecule: RNA transcript, 1967 nt
Organism: Triplophysa dalaica
Lineage: Eukaryota; Metazoa; Chordata; Actinopteri; Cypriniformes; Nemacheilidae
Exons: 8
Source: RefSeq, a predicted model, not a curated record